GACGAACGCUGGCGGCGUGCUUAACACAUGCAAGUCGAACGAAGAGCGAUGGAAGCUUGCUUCUAUCAAUCUUAGUGGCGAACGGGUGAGUAACGCGUAAUCAACCUGCCCUUCAGAGGGGGACAACAGUUGGAAACGACUGCUAAUACCGCAUACGAUCUAACCUCGGCAUCGAGGAUGGAUGAAAGGUGGCCUCUAUUUAUAAGCUAUCACUGAAGGAGGGGAUUGCGUCUGAUUAGCUAGUUGGAGGGGUAACGGCCCACCAAGGCGAUGGUCAGUAGCCGGUCUGAGAGGAUGAACGGCCACAUUGGGACUGAGACACGGCCCAGACUCCUACGGGAGGCAGCAGUGGGGAAUCUUCCGCAAUGGACGAAAGUCUGACGGAGCAACGCCGCGUGAGUGAUGACGGCCUUCGGGUUGUAAAGCUCUGUUAAUCGGGACGAAAGGCCUUCUUGCGAAUAGUUAGAAGGAUUGACGGUACCGGAAUAGAAAGCCACGGCUAACUACGUG
RNAcentral lists this ribosomal RNA (510 nucleotides) under uncultured bacterium. RNAcentral describes it as "partial 16S ribosomal RNA". It matches the Rfam family "Bacterial small subunit ribosomal RNA", at positions 28 to 507 of the family's 1533-position model. The record is from RNAcentral.